This is a long non-coding RNA of Nicotiana tabacum (common tobacco), 784 nucleotides long. RefSeq lists it as uncharacterized. Lineage: Eukaryota; Viridiplantae; Streptophyta; Magnoliopsida; Solanales; Solanaceae. The record is from RefSeq and is a predicted model, not a curated record.
GCCCCUUGCUGCUUUGUCUUCUCCAUGGCGAGCUCAAGCUCGUCCAUGGACUGCCCGCCGCCUCUGUCUUCUUCGAACCAGCGACGACCCCUUUCGUCGAACACCUUCAUUGUUUCUUCUUCUUCGUCCAGCAUCCAUGGAUGCCUCCUUCACCUACCCAGCUGCCUCGUCGACCUCCAGAAAACCCAAACGUUCACGUCCCAAACGACCUCCAGCUUGGCGACGCAACAAGAACAACUACUACGUCCACCAUCGCUGCUGCUUCUUCCUCUCCAGUCGCAGCUUCAGGCAGCUCACCAUGGCUGCUGCUGCUCGACGACCAUAAUAUCAGCUCACGUCCAAACACAUAGCUGAUGUUGCUUCCAUGACCACACGCACACACACGGAGGAAAAGCAAGGCAGUCCGGUUAAAGUCCGGCGAAGUUCUGUCAAGGUUUCGUUUGGUUUUGUUUGAGUCCGUUGUUGUUCGUCGUUGGGUGAGGUCCAGUUGAAGUUCGUCAAGGUUAAAAGAGAAGGUACACAACUGACACACCGGUUAAUGUAAACUGAAACGUGAAGCAUGAAUAUGAAAUGAAGAGUUGAAGUUCUGAAUUUAUCUUAAUUAUAUUCUGAAUUUUAUUUGUAUAUAUACAUUAUUUAGCUUACCCUAAUUAGAAUCAUAUAGUUGUUCAAUAUAUAUAAUGGAACAUCUGACGGUAGCUUAGCGGACAACUGUCUAUGUAUUGCCCUAAAAUAAAUAAAUGGUGUAGUAAUUCUGUCUAGUUAAUUCGUUAUUGUUGGAUGA